UCAAGCUACAAAGAGCGUAUGGUGGAUGCCUUGGCACUAGGCGCCGAAGAAGGACGCGAUAAGCUGCGAUAAUCUACGGGAAGCUGCACAUAAGCUAUGAUCCGUAGGAUUCCGAAUGAGGGAACUCACCGUUCUUAAUCGAACGGUAUCCGAUACACGAAUACAUAGUGUACGGAGGGGAACCAUGGGAAUUGAAACAUCUUAGUACCAUGAGGAAGAGAAAGAAAAAUCGAUUUCCUAAGUAGUGGUGAGCGAAAGGGAAAGAGCCCAAACCGUUGGUGGUAACACCGGCGGGGUUAGGACUGACAUCACGUACAAGUCUAGUUAGUUAAAGAUGGCUGGAAAGCCGCACGAAACAGGGUAAUAGUCCCGUAAACGAAAACAUAGAUUUGGCAGUCAGUAUCCAGAGUAACGCAGGGCACGUGAGAUCCGGCGUGAAGAUAGGAGAACCAUCUCCGAAGGCUAAAUACGACCUAGUGACCGAUAGAGUAUAGUACCGUGAGGGAAAGGUGAAAAGUACCCCGGGAGGGGAGUGAAAUAGUACCUGAAACCAUAUGUUUACAAUCAGUAGAAGCACUAUGGGCUUGCCCAGUGCGACUGCGUAAUUUUUGCAUACUGACCGGCGAGUUACGGUAUGUAGCAAGGUUAAGAGAUUAAGUCUCGGAGCCGAAGCGAAAGCGAGUUUGAAAUGAGCGAUUUAAGUUGCAUGUCGUAGACCCGAAACCCGUUGACCUAACCAUGAGCAGGAUGAAGCGAAGGUAACACUUCGUGGAGGUCCGAACCAGGGUUCACUGAAAAGGACUUGGAUGACUUGUGGUUAGCGGUGAAAUUCCAAUCGAAACGGGAUAUAGCUGGUUCUCCUCGAAAUAGCUUUAGGGCUAGCCUUGAUUUUAGAUUACUGGGGGUAGAGCACUGAAUGACUGAGGGGGUUUCGCGACCUACCAAUUUCUAUCAAACUCCGAAUACCAGAUAAUUAUAAUCAGGAGUCAGACUAUGAGCGAUAAGGUCCAUGGUCGAAAGGGAAAGAGCCCAAAUCUACGUCUAAGGUCCCUAAGUUAAAGUUAAGUGUAAAAGGAUGUCUUGUUACUAAAACAACCAGGAUGUUGGCUCAGAAGCAGCCAUUCAUUUAAAGAGUGCGUAAUAGCUCACUGGUCGAGCGAUGGGGCGCCGAAGAUACACGGGGCUAAAACUUUACACCGAAGACUAGGGUUACACUUUUGUGUAACGGUAGGGGAGCGUCGUAUGUGGGCUGAAGCUACACCGAAAGGAGUGGUGGACCGCAUACAAGAGAGAAUGCCGGUAUGAGUAGCGAGAGUGGAGUGAGAAUCUCCACCGCCGAAUAUCCAAGGUUUCCUGGGGAAGGUUCGUCCUCCCAGGGUAAGUCGGGACCUAAGUCGAGAGCGAACGCUGUAGAUGAUGGACAGCUGGUAGAUAUUCCAGCACCACCGCAUAUCGAUUAAGAGUCGAUGCAGGGACGCAGUAGGAUAGUCAAUCCGUACGGAUGGAAAUGUACGGCCAAAUCAUGAGGCUGUGAUGUAGUGAAGUACGCAUCACAUUAAGGCUGGGUGAUGAUGGGGAGUGAAAUUUAGUAAUGAAGUUGAUGAAUUCACACUGACUAGAAAAUCUGCUAGAUAGAUAUGAGGUGCCCGUACCGUAAACCGACACAGGUGGAUGAUGAGAGAAUCAUAAGGCGGUCGAGUUAACCGUUGUUAAGGAACUAGGCAAAAUUACCCCGUAACCUCGGGAGAAGGGGAGCCCACCUUUGGUGGGCCGCAGUGAAAAGACCCAGGCGACUGUUUACCAAAAACACAGCUCUCUGCUAAAUCGUAAGAUGAUGUAUAGGGGGCGAUGCCUGCCCGGUGCUGGAAGGUUAAGAGGAGGAGUUAGCACUCGAUGCGAAGCCCUGAAUUUAAGCCCCAGUGAACGGCGGCCGUAACUAUAACGGUCCUAAGGUAGCGAAAUUCCUUGUCGGGUAAGUUCCGACGCGCAUGAAUGGCAUAACGAUCUGGGUACUGUCUCAACAAUGGACUCGGCGAAAUUGGAGUAUACGUGAAGAUGCGUAUUACCUGCAACUGGACGAAAAGACCCCGUAGAGCUUUACUGUAGCUUGAUAUUGGGUUUCGAUUGUAGAUGUACAGGAUAGGUGGGAGACCUUGAAGCGGUCACGUCAGUGGUCGUGGAGUCGUCGUUGGGAUACCACCCUUCUGCAGUUGGAAUUCUAACUCUGUGCCGUAAUCCGGGCAGAGGACAGUGUCUGGUGGGCAGUUUGACUGGGGCAGUCACCUCCCAAAAAGUAAUGGAGGUGCCCAAAGGUUCCCUCAGAACGGUUGGAAACCGUUUGUUGAGUGUAAAGGCAUAAGGGAGCUUAACUGUAAGACUUACAAGUCGAGCAGAUACGAAAGUAGGGCUUAGUGGUCCGGCGGUAGAAUGUGGAAUUGCCGUCGCUUAUCGGAUAAAAGUUACCUCGGGGAUAACAGGCUGAUACCUUCCAAGAGUUCACAUCGACGAAGGUGUUUGGCACCUCGAUGUCGGCUCGUCAUAUCCUGGAGCUGUAGUCGGUUCCAAGGGUUGGGCUGUUCGCCCAUUAAAAUGGCACGCUAGCUGGGUUCAAAACGCCGUGAGGCAGUUUGGUCUCUAUCCGUUGCAGGCGUAGGAUAUUUGAGAGGAGCUGUCCCUAAUACGAGAGGACUGGGAUGGACGUACCAAUGGUGUACCUGUUGUUGCGCCAGCAGCAUUGCAGGGUAGCGAUGUACGGAAGGGAUAAACGCUGAAAGCAUCUAAGUGUGAAACCCGCCUCAAGAUGAGAUAUCCCACAGCGUUAGGCUGGUAAGACCCCUUAAAGAUUAUGAGGUUGAUAGGUCGGAGGUGUAAGUGCAGUAAUGCAUUUAGCUGACCGAUACUAAUAGGUCGAGGGCUUGAU
Molecule: ribosomal RNA, 2920 nt
Filed under: bovine gut metagenome
Description: Bacterial large subunit ribosomal RNA
Rfam family: Bacterial large subunit ribosomal RNA
Source: RNAcentral